Molecule: ribosomal RNA, 497 nt
Filed under: uncultured bacterium
Lineage: Bacteria
Description: partial 16S ribosomal RNA
Rfam family: Bacterial small subunit ribosomal RNA
Source: RNAcentral
GAUGAACGCUGGCGGCGUGCCUAAUACAUGCAAGUCGAGCGAACGGACGAGAAGCUUGCUUCUCUGAUGUUAGCGGCGGACGGGUGAGUAACACGUGGAUAACCUACCUAUCAGACUGGGAUAACUUCGGGAAACCGGAGCUAAUACCGGAUGAUAUUUUGAACCGCAUGGUUCAAAAGUGAAAGACGGUCUUGCUGUCACUUAUAGAUGGAUCCGCGCUGCAUUAGCUAGUUGGUAAGGUAACGGCUUACCAAGGCAACGAUGCAUAGCCGACCUGAGAGGGUGAUCGGCCACACUGGAACUGAGACACGGUCCAGACUCCUACGGGAGGCAGCAGUAGGGAAUCUUACGCAAAGGUCGAAAGCCUGACGGAGCAACGCCGCGUGAGUGAUGAAGGUCUUCGGAUCGUAAAACUCUGUUAUUAGGGAAGAACAUAUGUGUAAGUAACUGUGCACAUCUUGACGGUACCUAAUCAGAAAGCCACGGCUAACUACGUG